CUCUCGGUGCAGCUACCUAUAUGAUUGAGUUCCUCUAUCAUGAGUCCCGACUGAAUUAGAGUUAUGGUGAACUCGUCAAACCCAACAUCAGUCAUAUGAAUCAAUCGAUUGAUCCAAGUCCGAUGUGAAACCCCAAUGAAAAAUUUUUUUCUAUUAUUUCACUCUGCCAUGGCCAUGGGCUUAAGGACUCGAUCUUUCGAUCAUCAUAGGACUACUCCUCUUAUCUACCGAGGUUGAUAGAUCCCUUCUUGGUGCGAUCUGGCUCCUACAAUAAAUAUGCUACAGCCAACAUACACCUCAGGAUUCCAAAUGGCUAGAAAAUCGAGUUAUGGUGUAGUCAAACUAUAAUACACUCAAGGUGAACUGUCGAUGUACCUCAGGUCAAAGAACUAGACACACGACUGCAGCAUCGAGCUAGUCAUCAACGAGAAGGUAGACUUCCUUAUGACUGCUCAAGGUGAUCACGCUCAGUACUCUCGUUCUCAACGAAUACCUGUACUCUCGCUCCGAUAUCUCCACACCGUAGACUCAAGACACAUCUAUCCUAAGGAAGCGAUCGUACACCAACCUUUCGGAUCGAUCAUCAUCCUCGUGAUGAUCCUAUGGUCAGGAGCUAUUUAUGAGUUGUUAUGUAAAUUCAUGCCUUAAAUUUUCAACUCUUGAAAAUAUGAAUUAAUAUUCCUACUAACUCAAAGGAUGUAUCACAGACAUAAUGUAUACAAUGUGAUAGUAGAAUAACCUUUUUAUUCAUUUAUAGUUAAAAUUAUAAAUUUGUCCUUAUAUUUGUACAGAAAUAUGUCAGCCAAUCUGGCAUCUAGGGCACACAUCUAACAAAUAUCUCUCUCCACUCCAUAAUUUUUGUAGGGGGUCUGUGUGACAGGCAGACAUACCCAUCUUUAAAACUUUUUAGCCACCUUGCUCCCACUUUCUUCCAUCCUUCCAACACACGAGAAGAAGAGUCAGUCAAGGGGAGGUUGGUCCCAAGCCAAGAAAAGGAGAGAAGUCUGAUUCUGUAAGAAAUUUUAUUUUCUGCUCAAACUCCAAGCCUUGUUAAUGGCUUAGGAGUUGAAAAUUUUUGUAUCAGAAUUUUUAUUCAGUAAUAAAUUAGUUGUUCUCUUUUUAUUUAAUUUUUAUAAUUUUAAUUUCUGCAAUAGGAUAGUUUAAAUUUCUGCAUCUUUUAAUUCUGUAAUUUUCAAUUUUCGCAAGUUCAAUCCCAGCAAAUAAAAUUAAUCUUUAUUUUAUUAUUUUUUUUACUUCAAAUCAACUAUGUCUGGCUAAGCAAUCCCUCUAGAGUUUGCGAUAAAGCUAGAUCAUGAAUAGAAACCUGCUCUAUUGAAUCUCUUUUUUCGAGCUUUUAAUUUUUAAAGUCCUUCUCCCUUCAUCUUUCUCACCAAGAGACUUGAUGGGCUAUCGUUGGGUCAGAAUCCCUUCAUAGUCCAUACUUGAUUCGGUGUAAAAGUGGAUGAUUGGUAGAAGGCUCAAAAUUUUCUAAACUAUUUCUUCUCUUCUUUUAUGAAAAUC
Molecule: long non-coding RNA, 1521 nt
Filed under: Elaeis guineensis (African oil palm)
Lineage: Eukaryota; Viridiplantae; Streptophyta; Magnoliopsida; Arecales; Arecaceae
Description: long non-coding RNA (EGUI_LNC049697)
Source: RNAcentral